This 76-nucleotide transfer RNA is filed under the name Dehalococcoidales bacterium. RNAcentral's name for it is "tRNA-Arg". It matches the Rfam family "tRNA". From Rfam's summary of the family: Transfer RNA (tRNA) molecules are approximately 80 nucleotides in length. Their secondary structure includes four short double-helical elements and three loops (D, anti-codon, and T loops). Further hydrogen bonds mediate the characteristic L-shaped molecular structure. tRNAs have two regions of fundamental functional importance: the anti-codon, which is responsible for specific mRNA codon recognition, and the 3' end, to which the tRNAs corresponding amino acid is attached (by aminoacyl-tRNA synthetases). tRNAs cope with the degeneracy of the genetic code in two manners: having more than one tRNA (with a specific anti-codon) for a particular amino acid; and 'wobble' base-pairing, i.e. permitting non-standard base-pairing at the 3rd anti-codon position. The record is from RNAcentral. Lineage: Bacteria; Bacillati; Chloroflexota; Dehalococcoidia; Dehalococcoidales.
GCCCCUGUAGGCCAGUUGGAUAGACCAGCGGUUUCCUAAACCGUGCGCCCGGGUUCGAGUCCCGGCAGGGGCACCA